This 492-nucleotide ribosomal RNA is filed under the name uncultured bacterium. RNAcentral describes it as "partial 16S ribosomal RNA". It matches the Rfam family "Bacterial small subunit ribosomal RNA", at positions 29 to 507 of the family's 1533-position model. The record is from RNAcentral.
AGUGAACGCUGGCGGUAGGCCUAACACAUGCAAGUCGAACGGCAGCACAGUAAGAGCUUGCUCUUACGGGUGGCGAGUGGCGGACGGGUGAGGAAUACAUCGGAAUCUACUUUUUCGUGGGGGAUAACGUAGGGAAACUUACGCUAAUACCGCAUACGACCUACGGGUGAAAGCAGGGGAUCUUCGGACCUUGCGCGAUUGAAAGAGCCGAUGUCGGAUUAGCUAGUUGGCGGGGUAAAGGCCCACCAAGGCGACGAUCCGUAGCUGGUCUGAGAGGAUGAUCAGCCACACUGGAACUGAGACACGGUCCAGACUCCUACGGGAGGCAGCAGUGGGGAAUAUUGGACAAUGGGCGCAAGCCUGAUCCAGCCAUACCGCGUGGGUGAAGAAGGCCUUCGGGUUGUAAAGCCCUUUUGUUGGGAAAGAAAAGCAGCAGGUUAAUACCCCGCUGUUCUGACGGUACCCAAAGAAUAAGCACCGGCUAACGUCGUG